RNAcentral lists this long non-coding RNA (1175 nucleotides) under Piliocolobus tephrosceles (Ugandan red Colobus). RNAcentral's name for it is "lncRNA (ENSPTEG00000013203.1)". Lineage: Eukaryota; Metazoa; Chordata; Mammalia; Primates; Cercopithecidae. The record is from RNAcentral.
AGGCCCGUGCCACCAUGCCCAGCUAAUUUUUUGUUUUGUUUUUUUUUUAAUAGAGACGGGGUUUCACCGUGUUAGCCAGGAUGGUCACCAUCUCCUGACCUCGAAACACACAAAUCUUAAUUGUAGUUUGAUGGUCAUGGGAUCACACCAGAUCAAGAUGAAGAACGUUCCUAGCCUCCAGGGGCUCCCUUCAAAGGAAGCCCAUCCUGACCUACUUUGGCUCCCGAGGUCACCUGGACUUGCCCCAUCACAGACCUUGCCACAGUGUGAGAAACUGCCUCAUCCACAUACCAGCUUCUCACCCCCACCCAGACCCUCUGAUUGGGACUCCCUUGAGGGCUGUGUCCCCAGAGCCCAGCAAGAGUCCAGCACAGAGCAGCUGAGGGGGUAGGUGCUGGUGAACAGGGCCACGGAGCCCCUGCUACUCACCAAGCCCUUCACACACGGGUCUUCAUUUAAUGUCUUUCUUCUCCUAAAUAGAAUCUUGGCUUUGCCAAGACCAGCAUAGUUGCUGCUCAAGAAAUAUGUGAGGAAAUUGUUGAGAUGAACCAGCACUCGGGGAAGGGAGGCUUUCUGAGGACGGGGCCUUAGCAGGUGGAGCUCCUGGGAUAAUAAGAAAGAUGCCCGGAUGCGGUGGCUCACAUCUGGAAUCCCAGCACUUCAGGAGGCCAAGGCAGGCAGAUCACUUGAGGCCAGGAGUUCAAGACCAGCCUGGCCAACAUGAUGAAACCCCGUCUCUACUAAAAAUACAAAAAAUUAGCUGGGCAUGGUGGUGCGAGCCUGUAGUCCCAGCUUCUCGGGAGGCUGAGGCUGGAGGACCAAUGAUUGAACCCGGGAGGUGGAGGUUGUAGUGAGCUGAGAUCGCAGCACUGCACUCCAGGCUGGGCAACAGAGUGAGACUCUGUCUCCAGAAAGAAAGACAACAAUAAUCAGUCGUCUUUACUCUGCUCCAGGCGCCAGGCUGAGUCUUCUCAGUUCCUCUCCCCAGCAGGUUAGUUCUAUUAUUGUUUCCAUUUCACAGAUGGGAAAUCAAGGCACAGGGAGGUGAGGUGGGUUACUCCAGGUCACACAGUCAGUGAGAGGAAGAGCCAGGAUCAAAGCCAAGCCUGUUUGACUGAGGAGCCUGCCCUGAGACCUUAACCACACACCAAGCGCUCCCUAGAAGGAAGAUGCCA